RNAcentral lists this ribosomal RNA (468 nucleotides) under uncultured bacterium. RNAcentral describes it as "partial 16S ribosomal RNA". It matches the Rfam family "Bacterial small subunit ribosomal RNA", at positions 28 to 507 of the family's 1533-position model. The record is from RNAcentral.
GACGAACGCUGGCGGCGUGCUUAACACAUGCAAGUCGAACGGAAAGGCCCUGCUUUUGUGGGGUGCUCGAGUGGCGAACGUGUGAGUAACACGUGAGUAACCUGCCCUUGACUUUGGGAUAACUUCAGGAAACUGGGGCUAAUACCGGAUAGGAGCUCCUUCUGCAUGGUGGGGGUUGGAAAGUUUCGGCGGUUGGGGAUGGACUCGCGGCUUAUCAGCUUGUUGGUGGGGUAGUGGCUUACCAAGGCUUUGACGGGUAGCCGGCCUGAGAGGGUGACCGGCCACAUUGGGACUGAGAUACGGCCCAGACUCCUACGGGAGGCAGCAGUGGGGAAUAUUGCACAAUGGGCGGAAGCCUGAUGCAGCAACGCCGCGUGCGGGAUGACGGCCUUCGGGUUGUAAACCGCUUUCGCCUGUGACGAAGCGUGAGUGACGGUAAUGGGUAAAGAAGCACCGGCUAACUACGUG